UCGAACGCAGUAGCAAUACUGAGUGGCAAACGGGUGAGUAUAAUGUGGGAAUCUGCCUUUUGGCCUGGAAUAACACGAGGAAACUUGUGCUAAUACCGGAUAAGUCUUUACGGAGAAAGCUUUAUGCACCAUUGGAUGAGCCCGCACUUGAUUAGUUUGUUGGUAGGGUAAUGGCCUACCAAGACUACAAUCAAUAGCUGAUUUGAGAGGAUGAUCAGCCACACUGGGACUGAGAUACGGCCCAGACUCC
Molecule: ribosomal RNA, 250 nt
Filed under: uncultured bacterium
Lineage: Bacteria
Description: partial 16S ribosomal RNA
Rfam family: Bacterial small subunit ribosomal RNA
Source: RNAcentral